GUUUUGUGGGUAUCCAGUUACUCAGAACAUGCAUAGAAUGCACGAUAUCUAGUGUGUUGUCGAAGAAGGGGAGUCUUUGCGAAAUGCUUAUGUACAAAGGUACAACGCCUCUUGAUGCAAUGAAACUAUUGAAAGGGCCAUUUAGAUUCAUUGAAGUUGUGAUGAUUGUUAUGUUUCUUUUUCUCAUUCUGACAGCAAAUGUAGCCACCCCACCUCCGAUGUCAAGCCCUAUUCUUAUUGUGCCAGGCUUCUUUACUGCAAGUACUUCAUCUACGGAGAAGUCGAGGCCCCCACCAUUGCCAGUCCAUCGGGUUUUCUCUCGUCCAGCAAGGUCAAAACAGUCCUUGCAGUCGUCAAAACCUUUCUGAGUAUGCAUACGAUUGAUGAGACAUGAAUAGUUCUUGCAGGUAUGUGCUGUCCAAACAACAGUUGAGUCCGAGGGUGUCAUCCAUAAGCUAUCAGGAAGUGGGUAUGGUUCAAUGUAUUCUUUCUGUGCAGCUGGAUGGCACCGGCGUCGAGGAAGUGGCUCACAUCCCCGGAGGAGAAGCUUUUGUGCUAGAAGCUCGUCGUCCGGGCAGGAUCCAUUGACUUUGUAUGACAUAUACUGGCGAAGCAUAUCAGGGAAAAGUGCACACGGAUGGCCAACUGGAGGGAGGAUUUUGUCGGAAUCAAAAUUUGAGUUAUAACCCAGUGGGAGCUGCUGUGGGGAUGUGAAAGCAAGAAACUCAUCAGGGAGGUCUGCUUCACUUUCCGAUGCAUUGAAUUGUUUGACAAUCUCUACUUUCGGGGUUGGCUUGGGAUCUCUUGGGGCACAAUCAGCAGUUUUCCCAAUGGGUGUGACGGAUUCUACUCGAGUUCCUAGAGAACAUGGAGAAUACAAGUUAGUGGAAAUGAAGAGAGUGAGAAGAUUUGAAGACACAAGUAAGAAAAGAUAGAAGAGUUUAGAAGAGAAAGAUCUUGAAUUGCAAGGGGAAUCCAUGGAAAUCUGAUUUGGAUUGCUUAGAGUUGAAGAUGAAGUGUAUUGUGUAUACGAUUAGUUGGGAUUAAAGUCAACUUACUAAUAUAUUAUGUUUUAAUACAUUUAAUCACGCAGAAGCAUGUUUUAUUUAAGACGAGUUGGUAUUGUAGCAGGUAGUGGGAUCUUGUGGAAGGUCAACACUGAGAGAGUGAAGUACAAAUUUCAUAUUCUAUAGAGAAGUGUGAAGUUUUGUGAUUUCGGUUUUGGCGGACUUGUUCACAUGCAUUUUCCAAUUUGUAUGAAUUUAUCAUCUUAAAUUACUUUCUUUAAAAAUUCAUGCGAAGGUUAAAUAGAUAGAGGAAGAAUUUAUUCUAACCAGAUCUGAGUUUGGAUCUAAUUCAGUAUAUUUAAACUCAAAAGAUCAAUAUGCACUUAAUUCAAUGGCAAUGGUUGAUUAAAUUGCAGGAUGCAAAUUCAUUAAUAAUGGACCAUAUUUUAGUUUCUUUUUAUUGUUUUAUCCAUCUUGCGUUGAGAAUUAGAAACUCUAGUUUUAUAUCACCGAAAAUAAUUAAACUGUAGGAAAAAAAAUAGACACACAAGACAUGCAAAAUUAAUAGAGGUUCGUCCUAAUGUGAAAUUACGUCCUCUUUCGUCGCUGUGGUAACUCAUUAUUUUCUCUUACAUCUCUCUUUUUACAAGAGAAAUUGUACAUUUUAUCAUCUCUUAUACCUCUCUUUUUAAUAAUUAUAAUUAAACCUUAAUGAUGACUCCCCUGAUGAUAUCCAUAAUUUUGCGUACAAGCUCUACGCAAUGACAAUAAUUAAAUUUUACAACUUGACAUCUUGCACUCCCUUAUCCGGCCUCUGGUAAUGUUCAAUGAUAUGCCAAUAGCUAUCCAUUAUUCAAAUCUAUUUAAGGCAUUGUGCUCACUUAUUCUCGAUUCUUCAAUUCAAAAGACAUGUUGAUAUGCAAAAAAUUAUGAUCAAAGCUUCCACGAUUAAAAGAUUGAUAGAAUUCACGAUGAGCUUCAAAAAAUAACGACAAAAACCAAUAUGAAUUCCAAGUGGUCUUUGUAUUAAGCUUGCUGUAGAUUAUUAUUCAUUGUCACAAUGUAGUUUUAGUACUCAUGUUUACUAACAAACUCGAAGCUGAUAAAAAUCCAAUCAUUCCUCCAGAUGAGUUUUCCUAUACCUGUUAAUCAGAAGUAGAAAACACAAAUUAUAGAACAGGGGUUUGCAAAAUCAAAGCAAGAAUGUUCAAAUCCUUACAAGAAGGUACAUGCUAGUUAGUAGUUACAAACUGCAGAACUCCAUUCAUAUGAUCUUUUUCUCAUAAUGUUCACUCUCUUCAUUUCAUCCCACCCACCCACCAACCCCUGCGUUUUGGGUGUAUUUUCUAGCUUCGAAUCUAAAGAAUAUUUAGACACUACAUGUUACAAAUCAAUGUAUAACUGGCUUCAGAGGAUGAGCUCUCAGUAGUGACAAGUCCAAGCUUGCAUCUAGCUCUUCGUCUAGUUCUCCAACGAUGCUACUGCAAGGUAAGGUAAGAAAAAUCAGACUACAGCAUAUAAUUAUAUUAGUCAAACGCAAAAGAAUUAUGAUGUAAAUGAUAUGCAGAUGGCAAAGAAAAAAUAGUACAUGUUGUCUCCUCUGAUGAUGUAGAGACCCAACACAAGUUGCUGUACACCUUCCUACAAUAUAGAACAGGCAUCAAUUGUAUUAUGAGAAAAUCAACCUUAUGGAACAACACAACUGUGUUAAUAUUGAACUAAAAUACAUAUAGGAAAAUAAAAGAUAUAAAAAGAAGAAAUGAUAAGAAUUGAUUAAUAUUCAACUUGAAGGUACAUAUAACACAAAGCUCCUCAACUACAAGAGCAGGGAGGUUAGCAUUUAACGAGUUCCACCCACUCUCUCUACCUUUGAAGCACAGACACUCCUCAGACACAUGCAACACGACGUGUUCUAUUUAUGAUAUACUUAGUAAAAAAUUUCAUGAUGGGCACAUCCUCGAGGCGUGACCUAUAUAUUUUCUGUCUUCAAUUUUUGACAUGCAACGCGCAUUUCCUCAACGUCAUAGGAUGUGUUAUUCACUGAAUUCUUUUCAUUCAGUAAAAUCUAUAUUCAGAGCAGCUUGGACUUUCUAAUAGCGAGCUAUGCUACACAACAUACAUGUUUGAUGCUUGUAGGAGAUUAGGAGCAGACCUUUGUGGAAUACACCCGUUCAUGAGACUCAUCAAGAAUUAUAUUAGUAGCCUGGUCAAAACCUUUCAGAAUUCCCUGCAAGAAGAAUUGGUUAUUUAGUAUAAGAAAAGGGUUCACUACCAAAUAUUCUAUUAUUGCAGCUCAAAACCUAAAGGCUUACCACUAUAUUUCGCCCAUCAUUUGUGAUCACUGAGAUUGUUUCUGAGAAUCACAAGGGACCAAAAUUAAAAGCAUAAAAAAGAGAUGUUAUUGGAAGCAAAUUACUUGUCAAGAAAUUCAAGUGUGAAAAGAUAUAGACGGGAUAUUUAAAUUCUUAUAAACUAAAUGAAAGAUGCAGUAUACCCCAGUUCUCUAGAGUUUUAAAAUAAGGUGCCUACAACACCUCACUCAGUUCAGGCCAAGCCAGUAACUUGAUAGGACAGGAAAUAUGAUAACUGGAGGAAGUACUUUGGCCUUAUCGGGGGCAGCCAUGGGGGAUUUUCCGCAAUGGGCCAAAGCCUGAGAGAGCAAUGCCUUGUGGAGGUAGUUGUAAGUUGCUUUUAUAUCAGUCAAUCAAAGAUAUUGUAUCAAAUGGAAUUUACUCACAGCUAUUUAGACUUUGACUGAGAAGAAAUAAAAUAUCUUUAACACUUCAGCUUUGCAGAUCAUAACAUCAAAGACUAUAAUGUAUGAAGAUGCUAUCCCUAACACAGUUUGCCAGCAGGAUGUUACGAAAAAAAAUCUACUUCAGGUUCUUAAGAACUCUUCAAAAUCACCAUUGAGUUCAGGGGGAAGGGGCACAUAAUAAACACUACUCCAUUCAUGUAGUAGAUUAGCAAUAUAAUAUCCAGUUUAUAAACAAUGGUAAUUCCUGAAAAGAACACGCAAACGAGAUAACAUCAUAUAUCAGUCGUGGAUCAGUAUAGGUUUAUGAUUGCAUACGGUCAACAAGAUUCUCAAGUCCAAGCCCACUAGACAUCUUCUGAUCUCCAAUACAAAUAGGCGAUGAUUCUUUUUAAAUUGCUGAUGCUUGGACUUUUGCGAAGCCUGCUCCAUGAGAGUGAAACUAGUUAUUAGUCAUUUUACAAUUCUAAAAAAGAUGAACCAGCCAAAAGAUAAAACUCAGCGAAAAAAAAAGAAAAGAAAAGAAAAGAAAAUGCCUCAAUCUAGGGAACUGAUUAAAAAUGAAAACUAAUAAGAACUUAGGGUGAAUAACUUUUCUGUUUUGCUUUAGAGGAAACAUAUAGUGACCAUGAAGAAGUUGAUUAAAAAUGAUAUUAAUUAUUUCGAUAAUAAAAAAUAAGUUAACUGGAGAAAGGUUGCCCACAUGACUUGUGAGGUCUUAGAAUGAAGCUACUUUCAACAAUCCUUUUCAAUCAUUCUUUCAAGUUAGUAAGCCAUAUCCAUGUUCUUUGUGCCCUUUGACUUUAACAAUCCCAAAUUACUAGAGGUCUUGUUGCAUAUCAAGUACGUCAUCAGAUGGGGCCUCAAAUAGUUAUAACGGUUUGACUGGUCAUAAUAAACUUCUGGAGGUCCAAAUCAAGGUCCAACAAGUACACGAGUACGUAGUAGCCAGAUGUCUGUUUAAUAAAAAGUUAAAACAGGCGGUAAGUCGAUUGGAAAUCAUAGAUCUAGGGAAAAUUUUGACUACGCAAUUAAUGUUCAUAAUGCAUAUACUAAAUUAUAAUUCCUCAUAUUUUUAACAGUACCGAGAAAAUGAACUAGAUUGAAUUACAGUGUAUAUGGAAACACAGGUGAAAGAAAUUUCAUUGUUACUUAUCCCAUCAGUAGGUUUAUGGAUCAAAGUAAAGAAAUAGUUGCGAGAAAUUAAGAUUCUUACAACCACUCACAUAUAAUACACAUUAAGAAGGUAAAUAUCCAAUAAAAUUCUACAAAAUAGAUGAACACAGUCACAGAGCCCCACCACAUACAGACACACAUAUCAAUAGAAAUUAUACUUUUGGACUGGCAGCAUUAGAGCAUUCAAGAAAAAACCAAAAAAAUAAAAUAAAAUAAUAAUAAUAAUAAAAAAAUCCGAAAUAGGAAAAAUAUUACUGCAGGAUUAAGAUACUUAAAAAAUCGAACAAUGUCUAUUUUUCAAUUCUCAGGAACAAGACUAAUAUCUAUAAAAGCUAAUCGGUAUAAUCACAUUAAUUAAAAAAAAUGCAGAUUUCGGCGCAAUUUGAAAUAACAAAACAACACUUUUCCUUCAUACCUAGAGAAGGAAAAAAACCCGCCGGAAGAAGAAGUGCGAACUUGUACCGUAAACUGGUUCGUGUGCUGGAAAACCACAACUGAACCAGUUGCCAGUUGCGACACACUGAUCAAUAAAAUGAAAGAAAGAAGAUGACUGGAUUAAAUGUAUAAUGGGCCCAUCUUCUUAUGGACUAGUCUUGUAAAGGCCCAUGUUUUGGUAUAAGUUUUUAAACUUUCACUUGUAGCAUUACUUUUCUACGCUUAAAGUUCCACGCUCCACAUGACAUCAUUGUGUCAAACUAUUUCUUUACCCAUCUGUAUAGAGAUAUUUAUAAAUAAUAGAUUUCUUUUUUUUUUUUAACUACACAUUUUUCAUAAAAUCACUACUACAAAAUAUAAUAUUUUUCCAAAAACUAAUUAAAAUGGAGCUCAAACAAGGGCUAAUGCUAAAGCAAGAAAACCCCUUUCAUCAGUAUGAUCUUGAGAGCUCUAUAUUUUGUCGAAUUUCAAGAAAUAAAUCGAAUGUUUCAAAUUUAGCAUAGUUAGAGAAUCUCCAAUGAUGAUAUAAAAUAAAUGUAAAUUGACAUAUUCAAAAAAGGGCCAUUUAGAUUCAUUGAAGUUGUGAUGAUUGUUAUGUUUCUUUUUCUCAUUCUGACAGCAAAUGUAGCCACCCCACCUCCGAUGUCAAGCCCUAUUCUUAUUGUGCCAGGCUUCUUUACUGCAAGUACUUCAUCUACGGAGAAGUCGAGGCCCCCACCAUUGCCAGUCCAUCGGGUUUUCUCUCGUCCAGCAAGGUCAAAACAGUCCUUGCAGUCGUCAAAACCUUUCUGAGUAUGCAUACGAUUGAUGAGACAUGAAUAGUUCUUGCAGGUAUGUGCUGUCCAAACAACAGUUGAGUCCGAGGGUGUCAUCCAUAAGCUAUCAGGAAGUGGGUAUGGUUCAAUGUAUUCUUUCUGUGCAG
RNAcentral lists this long non-coding RNA (6295 nucleotides) under Olea europaea (common olive). RNAcentral's name for it is "long non-coding RNA (OEUR_LNC002569)". The record is from RNAcentral. Lineage: Eukaryota; Viridiplantae; Streptophyta; Magnoliopsida; Lamiales; Oleaceae.